Cyprinus carpio carpio is the source of this 1828-nucleotide long non-coding RNA. NCBI's taxonomy places the organism in Eukaryota, Metazoa, Chordata, Actinopteri, Cypriniformes, Cyprinidae. The record is from Ensembl.
ACACUGCGGUGCAAGACGGGCUCGGGUUCGGUGCGCCCAAAUGUGUUGGCUUAUGAAGACUGGGUCGAUGAACCGCUGCUUAAAGUGUGCUUCUCUGAGCGCUCGACAGCUCAAAGCCAGAGAAACCCCAUAGAGCAGCGAAACAGUUCACCGACAGACGCAACCAAACCCGUUGGCUCCCGAUGAGGGUGGAGAGGGCAGAGCUGGCGAAACUGAUUGGUUUUCGAUUUUAACGAAGAGCCGCCUUAUUUCACUCAGAACCGAGUCAGCUUUUUCCCAGGAGAGGAAAGCAAGUUUGUGUGCGAGAACGCUGUCACCAGUGGUGGGGGACUGACUGGGUGGACACUGGUGCACGGAGGGGGUGGUGUUUGUUUGGUAGGUGGGGUAACAAUCUGCGCGAACCUGGCCCUUUAAAUUACCUCCACAAUCACUGUAGACGAGACAAGCAAAGUUGCCUCCAGGGCCCUGAGCCAGCUUUAGUCCCCAGCCUCUCCAUCAUCCAGGCAUAAAAAAAAAUGACACAGAUGUGCUGUGUCGAGGCUAGUCAUGCAGUGGGAGAUAUUGGCUAACCUGUGAUCACUGGCACCCAAGACUCAACUUUGACCCAAGUCUGAAACAAGUUGACCCUUCUCAUGGCUAGACGGGGGAUCCUGGCUGCUCCAAACCCCCCCCCCCCACUCCCCCCCGCUCCCGAGAUGCAAUCAGGGGAACAGGGUGCUGCAGUUGACACCUGGCUGUUUUGCCACCAACACACCAAAACAUUUUUCAGUCCUACAGCUAAACACUUGAAACAACAAACUCUAAUAUCUGCCUCUCUUAUAUGAAUUUACUAAUUAUACUGCUUUUCUUUUCAAUGCCCUUAAAGGCUCGGCAGAUAUUCAGAUAAUAGUCUUGGUGUGGACUAGGCUGUCUGCCGGUGUUGGUGAUAAAUACAGUUUUCCUCUCAUACUUAAGCAAGAACAGUUUAGCUGACUUCCUCCAUUUCACUGCAACAACAACAAAAACACUUCUCACAGUUACAUAUCAGAUUGGAAUUUGGAUCAUCCUAGCAGCCUUUCCACGUAGUCCUUUGCAUGUAAACAGACCUGGUAGCUCUAUUGUGGUACAGAAGUCAGUUACACUCUUUUCACUGAGGGUGGCUUAUUUGGGAAAGCAGGAGUGAGGUUUGACACCUGUGCAGCUGCCCUUCUCAGCAGGAGUCCAGUGGGGACCAGAUCAGAAAUCCUCUGCCAUGCAUGUGAACUGCCUGCUUUACACAGUUUCACAACAGAAGUGUGAAAUGCCCUGCCAUAUAUCUCUCUAAUGCCCUGCUGUUUUAGGCGGCGGCAGACACAGAGAGCGACUGCAGACUGACUCUAAACAUUCCGUCUCAUUCUCUCUCCCCCUUGGUCACCAUUUAUAAAACUGUGUGACAUUAGUGAAUUGUCACUUUAAUAAAGCUGCCUCCGCUCCUGCAAUAGUAAUUAUCAAGAUUUGUCUCCAUUACAAGUCAUGUGCAAUUGAUUCCAUGUGCUUCAGUUUGGAAACGUCUCUCUUGUACAAUGAUGACUUGUUCCACCUAAGGGGAGGCCUUUUAAUCAUUGUGUGAAUUAUACUCGACUACAUGACAGAAAAAUGAAUCAGUUAUCCUUCUAUGGGCUGUUUGUUGGUCUGUGUACAUAUGCAUGAGAUCGAUGGUUUACAAAAACAGCUUGGCUAACUGGAUAAAGAAUCUCUACAUAAAUGACCAUAAUUAUAUUAAUAAGCUUGUAUUGCUAUUUUUUUUUUGUGAUUUGUUUAACAGGAGCCAUAACAUUUAAAAAACACCAUUAAACAAAUGUCAUGUGAA